CCGACCCUACGGGGCGCAGCAGUGAGGAAUAUUGGUCAAUGGGCGGAAGCCUGAACCAGCCAAGUCGCGUGAGGGAAUAAGGCCCUACGGGUCGUAAACCUCUUCUGCCGGGGAGCAAGGGCCGGGACGAGUCCCGGUCCGGAGAGUACCCGGAGAAAAAGCAUCGGCUAACUCCGUGCCAGCAGCCGCGGUAAUACGGAGGAUGCGAGCGUUAUCCGGAUUUAUUGGGUUUAUAGGGAGCGUAGGCGGGCUUUUAAGUCAGCGGUAAAAAUUCGGGGCUCAACCCCGUCCGGCCGUUGAAACUG
Molecule: ribosomal RNA, 305 nt
Filed under: uncultured bacterium
Lineage: Bacteria
Description: bacterial SSU rRNA
Rfam family: Bacterial small subunit ribosomal RNA
Source: RNAcentral